UACGUAGGGUGCGAGCGUUGUCCGGAAUUAUUGGGCGUAAAGCGCACGUAGGCGGAUUGCUAAGUCAGGGGUGAAAUCCUGGAGCUCAACUCCAGAACUGCCUUUGAUACUGGCGACCUUGAGUCCGGGAGAGGUGAGUGGAACUGCGAGUGUAGAGGUGAAAUUCGUAGAUAUUCGCAAGAACACCAGUGGCGAAGGCGGCUCACUGGCCCGGUACUGACGCUGAGGUGCGAAAGCGUGGGGAGCAAACAGG
RNAcentral lists this ribosomal RNA (253 nucleotides) under uncultured bacterium. Its description in RNAcentral is "partial 16S ribosomal RNA". It matches the Rfam family "Bacterial small subunit ribosomal RNA", at positions 524 to 776 of the family's 1533-position model. The record is from RNAcentral.